GUGGGGAAUAUUGGGCAAUGGGGGAAACCCUGACCCAGCGACGCCGCGUGAGGGAAGAAGGCCUUAGGGUCGUAAACCUCUGUUGUGUGGGAAGAAGAGCGUGACGGUACCACACGAGGAAGUCCCGGCUAACUACGUGCCAGCAGCCGCGGUAAUACGUAGGGGACGAGCGUUGUCCGGAUUUACUGGGCGUAAAGGGCGCGUAGGCGGUCAUUUAAGUCAGCUGUGAAAUGGUUUGGCUUAACCGGAUCAUGCGGUUGAAACUGGAUGACUGGAGUGCUGGAGAGGCAAGUGGAAUUCCCAGUGUAGCGGUGAAAUGCGUAGAUAUUGGGAAGAACACCGGUGGCGAAGGCGACUUGCUGGCCAGUAACUGACGCUGAGGCGCGAAAGCCAGGGGAGCAAACGGGAUUAGAAACCCUUGUAGUCC
This 427-nucleotide ribosomal RNA is filed under the name uncultured bacterium. RNAcentral's name for it is "partial 16S ribosomal RNA". It matches the Rfam family "Bacterial small subunit ribosomal RNA", at positions 354 to 796 of the family's 1533-position model. The record is from RNAcentral.